AAAGCGUGCGCAGGCGGUUAUGCAAGACAGAUGUGAAAUCCCCGGGCUCAACCUGGGAACUGCAUUUGUGACUGCAUGGCUAGAGUGCGGCAGAGGGGGAUGGAAUUCCGCGUGUAGCAGUGAAAUGCGUAGAUAUGCGGAGGAACACCGAUGGCGAAGGCAGCCCCCUGGGUCAAAACUGACGCUCAUGCACGAAAGCGUGGGGAGCAAACAGGAUUAGAUACCCCUGU
RNAcentral lists this ribosomal RNA (230 nucleotides) under uncultured bacterium. RNAcentral describes it as "partial 16S ribosomal RNA". It matches the Rfam family "Bacterial small subunit ribosomal RNA", at positions 562 to 791 of the family's 1533-position model. The record is from RNAcentral.